RNAcentral lists this long non-coding RNA (258 nucleotides) under Elaeis guineensis (African oil palm). RNAcentral's name for it is "long non-coding RNA (EGUI_LNC063775)". The record is from RNAcentral. Lineage: Eukaryota; Viridiplantae; Streptophyta; Magnoliopsida; Arecales; Arecaceae.
CCCACACAUUAGUGUGAACUAGUUUCAGUAGGGCUGCAUACAGGCUGAACUGCUGGCAAACUAUACUCUCCUCUGCUUUUUCAUCUGGUAUGGCUCACAUAUCUCUGAAAUAUCUCCAUCUACAUUUGAAAUCAGACCAUGCUUGCUCAGCUCCUUCAUCCUAUGAUCUCCUAUGUGGCCAAGGCGGUAGUGCCACAACCAGUGAGUCCCCUGCUGGUCCUGCGCUGCUGCUGCUACAUCAGAUUUUUUAGUCAUCAC